UGGGGAAUAUUGCACAAUGGGCGCAAGCCUGAUGCAGCCAUGCCGCGUGUAUGAAGAAGGCCUUCGGGUUGUAAAGUACUUUCAGUCGGGAGGAAGGUGUCAAGGUUAAUAACUUUGGCAAUUGACGUUACCGACAGAAGAAGCACCGGCCAACUCCGUGCCAGCAGCCGCGGUAAUACGGAGGGUGCAAGCGUUAAUCGGAAUUACUGGGCGUAAAGCGCACGCAGGCGGUUGAUUGAGUCAGAUGUGAAAUCCCCGGGCUUAACCCGGGAAUUGCAUCUGAUACUGGUCAGCUAGAGUCUUGUAGAGGGGGGUAGAAUGCCAUGUGUAGCGGUGAAAUGCGUAGAGAUAUGGAGGAAUACCGGUGGCGAAGGCGGCCCCCUGGACAGAGACUGACGCUCAAGUGCGAAAGCGUGGGGAGCAAACAGG
This 429-nucleotide ribosomal RNA is filed under the name Chloroflexota bacterium. RNAcentral's name for it is "Chloroflexi bacterium partial 16S ribosomal RNA". It matches the Rfam family "Bacterial small subunit ribosomal RNA", at positions 355 to 776 of the family's 1533-position model. Lineage: Bacteria; Bacillati; Chloroflexota. The record is from RNAcentral.